CUACCACUCAGGGGUUAACGCUUUUGAAUGCUCCCUGCAGGUUCCGAGUGCAGCUGUUACAGCCAUUUGGACAUUUUCUUUCUCCAAAGCCUCCGCUGCCUCUUGGAAACAACCACAGUGCCAUCUACUGGUAAAAGGCGACCACUAAUACAUCGCAGCAUUCAGUGCUGUUUUUAAUAAAUGGAAAGAUCACAGCACGAUGGCGGAGCGGCGGAGUUCGGCAUUUGUCUGAUGGAGGAAGUUGAAGACAGUGGGGGUGCAGGGGUGCUCAUCCCUUCAGGCAUCUGAUCAUCCAUUUUGAAAAGGUAACAGCAGCCUGAGGAGAUGGUACUGUCAGUAGGGGUGCUUGCCUUGCAAGCAGGAGGACCUGAGUUCCAUGCCCAGAGGCCAGAUCUUUCCUUGUCAAUCUGCUGACUUUGGAGGUUGCAUUACAACUACUUAGGAGCAUGGACACAGGAGGAUCACAAGUUCAAGGCCUGCCAAGACUAUGGAAACCGCUUGCCCAGGGAAUGGUGCCACCCACAGUGAACUGAGCUCUCCUACAUCAAUUAAUAAUCAAGGCAAUCCCUAAAAGGCAUGUCCAUGGGACAAUCUGAUCUGAGAAACCCCUCAACUGAGACUCCUUUCCCAGGUAACUCUAAGCUGUGUCAAAUUGACGGUUAAAGCUAACAGAACAAGCAGUAUGAAGGUGAAGAAACGCCUUUGCUCUCUCAAUAUUUUCUGCUGGCUUCAACUCAAAGAAUGCAGGCUGUAAUCACCUCUGUCAGCAGCUGGGCUGAGCCACCAAAGGCAGCUGGAGGGGAAUCCAGAAGCAAGGGAGACAAGGAAUGCCAAGCAAAGGACUCUGGAAUGGAUGCCUCUGAGCCCAGCCGGGCCCCAGCCCAGAGUUCUCCUUCCCAGAGGCAGAACCUGGGUCUCCUUAUUUGUGGGCAUCACCAACAAAGCAGGAUGCAUGCCUAGGAAUCAAGGGACACCAAUUUGAUGAGGAUGGUGGUUCACACCUAUCAUCCCAGCACUUGGGAGGGUGGGGGAGUGAAGCAGGAGCAUUGGGAGUUCUGGAGGAGUCUGGGUUACAUCUCCAGAUUUCGUAUCAAAAAACUAACAACCAGCAAGAAAAAAAUAUCAGUUUACCCUGUGUAUUAGCCAGGGUUAGAAUGAAUGUCUCUCCAUAUAUAGAAAGGGGAUUUAUUAGAAUGACUUAUAGGCUGUGGUCCUGCUAAUCCACCAACGGCUGAAUGUGAACAGAAGGUCCAACAAUCCAGUGUUUAUUCAGUCCAUGAGACAGGAUGUCUCAGCUGAUCUUCAGUAUGUGCUGGAAUCACAAUGCGAUAGACUCUAAUGCCGGUAAAGAAAUGGACUUGCUAAAAAGGUGAAAAAAGCAGGCAAAGGGCAAAAAAAACCUUCCUUCUACCAUGCCCUUAUACAGGUUUCCAGCAUGUGUGGCCCAGAUUAGUGGUGUAUCUUCCUGACUCAAGAUCCAGAUUAAAGGCA
Molecule: non-coding RNA, 1491 nt
Organism: Peromyscus maniculatus bairdii (prairie deer mouse)
Lineage: Eukaryota; Metazoa; Chordata; Mammalia; Rodentia; Cricetidae
Source: RefSeq, a predicted model, not a curated record